This 437-nucleotide ribosomal RNA is filed under the name uncultured Oscillospiraceae bacterium. Its description in RNAcentral is "bacterial SSU rRNA". It matches the Rfam family "Bacterial small subunit ribosomal RNA", at positions 341 to 792 of the family's 1533-position model. The record is from RNAcentral. Lineage: Bacteria; Bacillati; Bacillota; Clostridia; Eubacteriales; Oscillospiraceae.
ACGGGAGGCAGCAGUGGGGAAUAUUGGGCAAUGGGCGAAAGCCUGACCCAGCAACGCCGCGUGAAGGAAGAAGGUCUUCGGAUUGUAAACUUCUUUUAUGAGGGACGAAGGACGUGACGGUACCUCAUGAAUAAGCCACGGCUAACUACGUGCCAGCAGCCGCGGUAAUACGUAGGGAGCGAGCGUUGUCCGGAUUUACUGGGUGUAAAGGGUGCGUAGGCGGGCUUGCAAGUCAGGCGUGAAAUACCGGGGCUUAACUCCGGGGCUGCGCUUGAAACUGUAAGUCUUGAGUGAAGUAGAGGCAGGCGGAAUUCCCAGUGUAGCGGUGAAAUGCGUAGAUAUUGGGAGGAACACCAGUGGCGAAGGCGGCCUGCUGGGCUUUAACUGACGCUGAGGCACGAAAGUAUGGGGAGCAAACAGGAUUAGAUACCCUGGUA